Molecule: long non-coding RNA, 881 nt
Organism: Camelina sativa (false flax)
Lineage: Eukaryota; Viridiplantae; Streptophyta; Magnoliopsida; Brassicales; Brassicaceae
Source: RefSeq, a predicted model, not a curated record
AAAUAUAUAUUUAAUAACCAAUCAAUAAUUGAUAUGAUGAAAUGAAAAUUUUUGCGGUUUCUCUCUCUUCUCUCGUAUAUUUUAAAAGGGAGAAACCCUUUUGCUUCGCCGUCUGGUAGGAAUACGGUUUAGGUCUAGCAUCAUCUAGUCUGUUGCGGUGAUGGCUAGCUUUCUUCCGGCAUAGGUGGCUCUGUUUAGCGCCUUGGGUCGGCUCUGUUUCCGGCAUAGGUGGCUUUGAUUAGCACUUGUGGUCGGCUCUGUUUCCGGCAUAGGUGGCUUUGAUUAGCACUUGUGGUCGGCUCUGUUUCCGGCAUAGGUGGCUUCGAUUUGCACCUAUGGUCGGCUCUGUUUUUGGUACCGUUCAGCUUCUUCAGUGACGAUAGCCAGCUUUUUCUCCAGAAGUUUUUUCAGCAGGCCUACGUUUGGUGAGCAAAAUUUUUUGAAGAUUCAAAAGUUGUUGUUUGAAGACAAAGAUGAAAAAGAUUUGCUUUAAGUUGAGUCAUACUCUCAUCAAUGCUUAAAUUGAAAUUUCGCUUUAUUCUCUGGGCGAAGAUUGAGAUCUUUUCGUAAAUUUUCCGGUGAUCUCGGCCGGAAUUGAAGUUUGUCGGCGUCAGAACUCUCUGCCAAGACUCCAACCUCUUCAUCUUCUCAUGUGUUAUCCAACCUGUUUCUCUAUUGCCACGUCUUUUAUGUGCUGUUAUACAACGCUUUCUCUUCAGUGAAGGUUUCCUUAAUUGGGUUUUUUUUUUUUUUUUGUUUAUCUAGAUUUGUUUACUUAGUCUUUUUACUUUGUUUGUUUGUAAUAUCGGCCUGUCACAUUUGGCUUCUAUCAUCAAUAAAACUAGGUCUCGGCAUUUGGGUGUUCGGAUCGGGUUCAGGUU